AACGAACGCUGGCGGCAUGCCUAACACAUGCAAGUCGAACGAGACCUUCGGGUCUAGUGGCGCACGGGUGCGUAACGCGUGGGAACCUGCCCUUAGGUUCGGAAUAACUCCCCGAAAGGGGUGCUAAUACCGGAUAAUGUCUUCGGACCAAAGAUUUAUCGCCUUUGGAUGGGCCCGCGUUGGAUUAGCUAGUUGGUAGGGUAAAAGCCUACCAAGGCGACGAUCCAUAGCUGGUCUGAGAGGAUGAUCAGCCACACUGGGACUGAGACACGGCCCAGACUCCUACGGGAGGGAGCAGUGGGGAAUAUUGGACAAUGGGCGAAAGCCUGAUCCAGCAAUGCCGCGGGAGUGAUGAAGGCCUUAGGGUUGUAAAGCUCUUUUACCCGGGAUGAUAAUGACAGUACCGGGAGAAUAAGCUCCGGCUAACUACGUG
This 433-nucleotide ribosomal RNA is filed under the name uncultured bacterium. RNAcentral's name for it is "partial 16S ribosomal RNA". It matches the Rfam family "Bacterial small subunit ribosomal RNA", at positions 29 to 507 of the family's 1533-position model. The record is from RNAcentral.